AGGUUGUUUGUGGCAUUGAGUAGGUAGAGGCCAGGAAUGCUGCUGAACAUGCUACAACACAUGUGACACCCUCUUACAACCAAAAAUCCUCUUUCCCAAACUGUCGAUAAUGCUGGGGUUGAGAAAUCUUGAGCUAGAAUGAUGUAUAAUUUAAGAAUAUUUUUCUGAUAAAAAUUUCAAAGAAGUAUUUUUCUCAAUUAUAUUUCUAUUCCCUAUUAAGAAAUUCCAUUAUAUUAAAUUUGUAUCAAGAAAAUAUUUUAGAUAAAGUUGGUAAAGAAUAAAGCACUAUGGCUACUACAGCUUAUUUUUUAUAAAAAUAUAAAAUGCAUACAAUCAAGAAUGGGAAUUCAGGUUUUAUAUACCAUAGAUCAAGGAUUAUUUCAGAAAUUAAUCUUGUAAAACUAUUGCUUUUCAACAAACCUGUAUAAUAAAAUUCUUAGUAAUUAAUGUUUUGAGCAAGAGAACAAAUAUUAGGUGGCAUUAGUGUAUAAUGGGCUUUAAUUUGAAGAUAGAACAGAAAAAGAAAGGAAAGGGAUAAGAAACAAUGAACAUAAAGAAAUCAAUGCAUGACAGAAUAUUAAGUAUUAUGACAUCUCUAUUCUAGAUCCCACUGCCACCAAAUCCAACAUUCUGAAAGCAAGAAGCAAUCAUGCAAUCUCUGGGCUCAAGUCUUUUUGGUGCUACACAUCCCCUGGAACAAUGCUCGGUGAAUACUCUGUCAGCAUCAGUGUCAGUGUUCAGGGAAGGAUGUUUGGACUAGAGGUUACGACACACAAAUGCCGUUUUGAAGUACCUGAGUACUGGUCCCAGCACUUCUGCUUCCUGCUAAUGAGCACUGUGGGAGGCCGCAGUGAGAGCUCAAUUGGUUGGGACUCUUCCAUCCAGGUGGGAGAUAAGAAUUAAGUUCUUGGCUCCUGGCUCAGCCCAAGAUAUUCUGAACAUUUGGCAAGUGAACCAGUGGGUGAGAACUCUGUCUGUGUGUCUUUCUCACUCUUUGUCUUUCAAAUAAAUAAAUAAUCUAAUAUUUAAGAAGAAAAACU
This 1040-nucleotide long non-coding RNA is filed under the name Oryctolagus cuniculus (rabbit). RNAcentral's name for it is "lncRNA (ENSOCUG00000038782.1)". Lineage: Eukaryota; Metazoa; Chordata; Mammalia; Lagomorpha; Leporidae. The record is from RNAcentral.